This 247-nucleotide ribosomal RNA is filed under the name uncultured archaeon. Its description in RNAcentral is "partial 16S ribosomal RNA". It matches the Rfam family "Archaeal small subunit ribosomal RNA", at positions 691 to 937 of the family's 1478-position model. The record is from RNAcentral.
CCGACGGUGAGAGGCGAAAGCUGGGGGAGCAAACCGGAUUAGAUACCCGGGUAGUCCCAGCUGUAAACGAUGCGCGUUAGGUGUGUCAGUGACCACGUGUCACUGAUGUGCCGAAGGGAAACCGUGAAACGCGCCGCCUGGGGAGUACGGUCGCAAGGCAGAAACUUAAAGGAAUUGGCGGGGGAGCACCACAACGGGUGGAGCCUGCGGUUUAAUCGGACUCAACGCCGGAAAUCUCACCGGAUAA